GGCUUGACAGCUCAGUUGCUAAGAGCAUUGCAUCGGCAUCGCAAGGUCAUGAGUUCGAAUCCCGCUCAAGCCU
Molecule: non-coding RNA, 73 nt
Organism: Desmophyllum pertusum
Lineage: Eukaryota; Metazoa; Cnidaria; Anthozoa; Scleractinia; Caryophylliidae
Source: the annotation of a GenBank genome assembly